AAUGCCCUACGGGGGGCAGCAGUAGGGAAUCUUCCACAAUGGACGAAAGUCUGAUGGAGCAACGCCGCGUGAGUGAAGAAGGGUUUCGGCUCGUAAAGCUCUGUUGGUAGUGAAGAAAGAUAGAGGGAGUGACUGGCCUUUAUUUGACGGUAAUUACUUAAAAAGUCACGGCUAACUACGUGCCAGCAGCCGCGGUAAUACGUAGGUGGCAAGCGUUGUCCCGAUUUAUUGGGCGUAAAGCGAGUG
Molecule: ribosomal RNA, 246 nt
Filed under: uncultured bacterium
Lineage: Bacteria
Description: partial 16S ribosomal RNA
Rfam family: Bacterial small subunit ribosomal RNA
Source: RNAcentral